ACACGACUACAUUAGAUACCCCGGUAGUCCUAGCCGUAAACGAUGCUCGCUAGGUGUCAGGGACGGUGCGACCGUUUCUGGUGCCGCAGGGAAGCCGUGAAGCGAGCCACCUGGGAAGUACGGUCGCAAGGCUGAAACUUAAAGGAAUUGGCGGGGGAGCACUACAACGGGUGGAGCCUGCGGUUUAAUUGGAUUCAACGCCGGAAAUCUUACCGGGACCGACAGCAACAUGAAGGCCAAGCUGAAGACUUUGCCGGAUUAGCUG
Molecule: ribosomal RNA, 265 nt
Filed under: uncultured archaeon
Lineage: Archaea
Description: partial 16S ribosomal RNA
Rfam family: Archaeal small subunit ribosomal RNA
Source: RNAcentral